GGAAUAUUGGGCAAUGGGCGCAAGCCUGACCCAGCAACGCCGCGUGAAGGAAGAAGGUUUUCGGAUCGUAAACUUCUGUCCUAUGAGAAGAUAAUGACGGUAACAUAGGAGGAAGCCCCGGCUAACUACGUGCCAGCAGCCGCGGUAAUACGUAGGGGGCGAGCGUUGUCCGGAAUGAUUGGGCGUAAAGGGCGCGUAGGCGGCCUGUUAAGUCUGGAGUGAAAGUCCUGUUUUCAAGAUGGGAAUUGCUUUGGAUACUGUCGGGCUUGAGUGUCGGAGAGGUAAGUGGAAUUCCCAGUGUAGCGGUGAAAUGCGUAGAGAUUGGGAGGAACACCAGUGGCGAAGGCGACUUACUGGACUGUAACUGACGCUGAGGCGCGAAAGUGUGGGGAGCAAACA
RNAcentral lists this ribosomal RNA (399 nucleotides) under uncultured bacterium. Its description in RNAcentral is "bacterial SSU rRNA". It matches the Rfam family "Bacterial small subunit ribosomal RNA", at positions 358 to 774 of the family's 1533-position model. The record is from RNAcentral.